RNAcentral lists this small nuclear RNA (139 nucleotides) under Salvator merianae (Argentine black and white tegu). RNAcentral's name for it is "U4 spliceosomal RNA (ENSSMRG00000015243.1)". It matches the Rfam family "U4 spliceosomal RNA". Rfam says of the family: U4 small nuclear RNA (U4 snRNA) is a component of the major U2-dependent spliceosome. The structure of U4 snRNA from yeast and human has been reported. The record is from RNAcentral. Lineage: Eukaryota; Metazoa; Chordata; Lepidosauria; Squamata; Teiidae.
UGUUUUGCGCAGUGGCAGUAUCGUAGCCAAUGAGGUUUCUCUAAGGUGCGAUUAUUGCUAAUUGAAAACUUUUCCCAAUAUNCCGCCAUGACAACUUGAAAUAUAGUCAGCAUUGGCAAUUUAAAAAAAAAAAAACUUG